Molecule: long non-coding RNA, 1504 nt
Filed under: Callithrix jacchus (white-tufted-ear marmoset)
Lineage: Eukaryota; Metazoa; Chordata; Mammalia; Primates; Cebidae
Description: lncRNA (ENSCJAG00000075147.1)
Source: RNAcentral
ACUGUAAAAUACCAGACACUUGCCUCCAUUUCUUCAUGAUUGGUAUGUGCAUGAGGACACCCCUAGAUCUGCAAGGGUAAGCAUCUUUCUCUCACCCUUUCCUGCUUCUCCAGGCUCUGGCAGAGAGUAGACUCCACAAAAACUAUCCACUGAGUGGUGGAUAGAUGAAAAGAACAAUUGAUUUAAUAGCUUGAAUCAUGGAUCUCACUUGUUUCAUUACAACAAUAGAUAAGAAUCAGAAAACAAAAAAUAAGGAAGCAAUUAUAAAGCUUUUACUUCUAUUCUGUCCUCAUGACUAUCUUGUUUUAUGGUAAAAAUCACCAGCUGUCCAGCAGGGUAGCACUGUUGCUGACAAGCAGCUGCCUGAAGUGGAAUCAUCUUCCCCAGGCUGCCCCACUCCUCACAUAAAUGGAGCCACAUGGGCUGGAUGCAGAGAUUUCAGCAGAAAAUUCAAGGUCUUAUGGCAGAGCCACAAGUUGGAAGGAGACAGGACCUCUCAACCACAGCCUGUGGAAGAAGUGCCCAGUGACCAGGACCGUCACAUGAACAUGAAGUAAACCAUUGUGAGCAGCCACUAAGAUUUGAGAGCUUAACCAUAACAAAGACUAGUCUUUUCUUAAAUAUAUAAUACUGACCUCUUCUACUAGAUUAUAAAUUUCUGGAGGACAGAGCUUAUGUUUUGUAUCUACACCAUGCCUUAUAUAAUAUUGAACAUAAAGUAAGUUCUCAACAAAUGUUUGCUUAUAUGAAAGGAUACUGAGAUCUAACAGGUAUAGAUAGAUGGAGCCUCCACAUUGUGAAAGGUAUCAAAAAGGAUUUCCAUAAGAAAACAAAAACCGUUUUAAAAACAUUAAACUCAUCUCCCUGUUGAAAACAUAUUACUCCAACAGGCUUAGAAGAAUUUCUACCAUGCUCAGGGUAGCUUAUAUUAAAAAAGGGUAUAUUUAUUUUUUAGUAUUAAAUUUAACAUUUAAUAAUGUGGAUUAUUACAUUCUUUUCAUUGCAUAUUUAUAAUUGUCUUUAUUAUCAUAAGAGGAAUUAUUGUUAAAGGAAAUUGUAUGUGUAGGAAAUACACUAAGAUAUAAAGAAUGAAAAUGGCCCCCACAAUGCCACCAUUUAGCAGGGCUGUCCAAUCUUUUGGAUUUCCUGGGCCACAUUGGAAAAAUUGUCUUGGCACACAUAAAAUACACUAACAAUAACCAAUAAGCUAAAAAAAAAGACAAAAAAAUCUAAUAAUGUUUUAAGAAGGUUUACAGAUUUGUGUUGGGCUGCAUUCAAAACCAUCCUGGGCCACAUGCUGCCCAGAGGCCGCAGGGUGGACAAGCUUGAUUUAGAGCUUACCACUGUUACCAUGAAUAUAUGUUUCUUUAAUACACAUGUUAUUAGACACCGUGCAUGAGCAUUGUUGUAUAUUAUUAAAUAUUUAUUUAUAUCAUGGAAUGGUCAUAGAGCAUUUCAUUGCAAGACGUAUGUAAUUUAUUUACUCAAUAGCUUUUGUUGGAAG